This 28-nucleotide small RNA is filed under the name Bombyx mori (domestic silkworm). RNAcentral describes it as "ovarian small RNA-37746". The record is from RNAcentral. Lineage: Eukaryota; Metazoa; Arthropoda; Insecta; Lepidoptera; Bombycidae.
UUGAUGACAUACUAAAAAAACUUGUUAA